UUAUUCCUUCACGAAUGUCGUUGGUAUGACGCACAACGAUGAAUUUCUCAUGGUUGCUCUGAUACCAUGUGAGAAUGCACGGGAGAAGAAUAUUAUUGAGAUAUUAUUAUUUCAAUACUGCAAUGAUCCCAAUAUAUGUGUGUGUAUAUAUAUAUAUACACACAUUACAUAUCCUAAUCCUAAUUCAUAUAGGAUUAGGGUGAUUCACUCCUAUUUACACUAUUAUUCUAACACUUUCCGGUGCACAAGAAUGCGUUAUUGACUUUUCAUCCUCUCUUUCAGAUUAUAUUUACUGUUUUUAGGAGUCAUUUGCUGUUCUGUAUCAAGAUUUAGACUAGCAUCAGAUUUCUUGGAGUCUUGACCAUUGAAAAUUAAUUAGUUGUUUGUGAAUGUUGCAAGUCAAUUUGCAGUAGAGUGGCAUAGAAAUUGUGUAGUAUUUCAAUUGCUAAAACUGACCAUUCAGAAGAAACCAG
This 473-nucleotide long non-coding RNA is filed under the name Nicotiana benthamiana. RNAcentral's name for it is "long non-coding RNA (NBEN_LNC032461)". Lineage: Eukaryota; Viridiplantae; Streptophyta; Magnoliopsida; Solanales; Solanaceae. The record is from RNAcentral.